AGCUGUUCCAGUGCUGUGUGCUUGACAGCAAGGUGUAGCAGGCAGCUUCAUUUGAAAAGGCUUUGCUUUCUGCCACAGGCCUGACGUGUGCAUUUAUCUUUGGAACCCAAACUUCUGAAUCAGAUUACUAGAGAAGCCAUGGAAAAUGGCUGCUAGAGAGACCCUGUGCAUUAUGGGAGGUUCUUAAAGCCAUCUGUAUGUUCCGUUGAGGAUAAGGCUGCUUGGCUAAGGGCCAUGGCUUCCAUAAGAAAGGACAACUGUAUUUAACCUCAGAUGAACACCAAUGAGCAAAUGAAGCAAGUGCUAAUAUUUCUGGCAAGGAAAAGGAAUGCCUGUUCAAAAAUA
Long non-coding RNA from Electrophorus electricus (electric eel), 345 nucleotides. RefSeq lists it as uncharacterized. The record is from RefSeq and is a predicted model, not a curated record. NCBI's taxonomy places the organism in Eukaryota, Metazoa, Chordata, Actinopteri, Gymnotiformes, Gymnotidae.